UACGUAGGGUGCAAGCGUUAAUCGGAAUUACUGGGCGUAAAGCGUGCGCAGGCGGUUCUAUAAGACAGAUGUGAAAUCCCCGGGCUCAACCUGGGAACUGCAUUUGUGACUGUAGAGCUGGAGUGCGGCAGAGGAAGGUGGAAUUCCAGGUGUAGCGGUGAAAUGCGUAGAGAUCUGGAGGAACACCGAUGGCGAAGGCAGCCUUCUGGGCCAACACUGACGCUCAUGCACGAAAGCGUGGGGAGCAAACAGG
RNAcentral lists this ribosomal RNA (253 nucleotides) under uncultured bacterium. RNAcentral's name for it is "partial 16S ribosomal RNA". It matches the Rfam family "Bacterial small subunit ribosomal RNA", at positions 524 to 776 of the family's 1533-position model. The record is from RNAcentral.